CCAGGUCUUUUAUUUACUAGUUGUGAACCUAGAUUAGACAGCUUUUGGAGCUAUUUUAACCAUAUCCCAGCCAUAUGUCCCUUGUUACUUACUGUUUGUCCUGCCCAUGUGCUCGUGGUCCGUUUCCUCUCAGGGCUGUUCCUCCUCCUUUGGUCUCUUCUCCUUGCCCUUUUCUCUCUACCUGCAACUUCCACCCAGCCAUGUAACUAAAAACCUGCCAACAAUGUUACCUAGCAUUGUUUGGUGUAUGAGACUGUCUCCUGGGCAGUGGUGACCCGAUCUUUGUGGCCAGUAUUUAGCAUUUGAAUGCCAGCAGCGUCUCCUACACUUUAUUACUUUAGACUACUGCUCUAUCCAGCUACCUCCCCAGCCCAAGAUGAUGGCUCUUGAUGAAAUUUACUCCACAAGGGUGAGCUUGUGUUAAUCUUUGAGGAUUAUGGAUCUCAGGUCUCUGAUCCAGUGAAGGCACCCAUGUAUUAAGAUAAACAUGUGGGGCUGGGGAUUUAGCUCAGUGGUAGAGCGCUUACCUAGGAAGCGCAAGGCCCUGGGUUCGGUCCCCAGCCCCGAAAAAAAAGAACCAAAA
This 583-nucleotide long non-coding RNA is filed under the name Rattus norvegicus (Norway rat). RNAcentral describes it as "long non-coding RNA NONRATT005266". The record is from RNAcentral. Lineage: Eukaryota; Metazoa; Chordata; Mammalia; Rodentia; Muridae.